Molecule: non-coding RNA, 30 nt
Filed under: Rattus norvegicus (Norway rat)
Lineage: Eukaryota; Metazoa; Chordata; Mammalia; Rodentia; Muridae
Source: RNAcentral
UCUCCACGGUAAUGGGACUACGCGGUGUUU